CCGAGUUUACAACUCCCAAACCCCUGUGAACAUACCACUUGUUGCCUCGGCGGAUCAGCCCGCUCCCGGUAAAACGGGACGGCCCGCCAGAGGACCCCUAAACUCUGUUUCUAUAUGUAACUUCUGAGUAAAACAUACAAUAAAUCA
RNAcentral lists this unclassified non-coding RNA (147 nucleotides) under soil metagenome. RNAcentral describes it as "partial internal transcribed spacer 1". The record is from RNAcentral.